Molecule: non-coding RNA, 155 nt
Filed under: Danio rerio (zebrafish)
Lineage: Eukaryota; Metazoa; Chordata; Actinopteri; Cypriniformes; Danionidae
Description: Eukaryotic large subunit ribosomal RNA
Rfam family: Eukaryotic large subunit ribosomal RNA
Source: Rfam by way of RNAcentral
CUGGAUUGUGACGAUCAAGCAUUUGUUGUGACAUCGCUUUAUGAUCCUUCGAUGUAGGCUCUUCUUAUCAUUGUUAAGCAGAAUUCACAAAGUGUUGCAUUGUUCACCCUGUAACAGGGAGCGUGAGGUGGGAUUAGACCAUUGUGAGACAGGUU